CUUUCUUUGCUGGCGACCGGCGCACGGGUGAGUAACACGUAUCCAACCUGCCCUUUACUCGGGGAUAGCCUUUCGAAAGAAAGAUUAAUACCCGAUAGCAUAAUGAUUCCGCAUGGUUUCAUUAUUAAAGGAUUCCGGUAAAGGAUGGGGAUGCGUUCCAUUAGGUUGUUGGUGAGGUAACGGCUCACCAAGCCUUCGAAGGAUAGGGGUUCUGAGAGGAAGGUCCCCCACAUUGGAACUGAGACACGGUCCAA
RNAcentral lists this ribosomal RNA (254 nucleotides) under uncultured bacterium. RNAcentral's name for it is "partial 16S ribosomal RNA". It matches the Rfam family "Bacterial small subunit ribosomal RNA", at positions 79 to 334 of the family's 1533-position model. The record is from RNAcentral.